CCAAUAGCGUAUAUUAAAGUUGUUGCAGUUAAAAAGCUCGUAGUUGAAUUUCGGAAUCUGUCCAUCGGUCGGGCUUCACUGUCCGUACUGGUGUGGUGGGUUCUUACCUUCUGAAUAACCAGCAUGCCAUUCACUUGGUGCGUUGGGGAAGCAGGACUAUUACCUUGAAAAAAUUAGAGUGCUCAAAGCAGGCCAGUGCCUGAAUACAUUAGCAUGGAAUAAUAAAAUAGGACGGCAUGGUUCUAUUUUGUUGGUUUCUAGGAUCACCGUAAUGAUUAAUAGGGAUAGUUGGGGGCAUUAGUAUUAAAUUGUCAGAGGUGAAAUUCUUGGAUUUAUUGAAGACUAACUUCUGCGAAAGCAUUUGCCAAGGAUGUUUUCAUUAAUCAAGAACGAAAGUUAGGGGAUCGAAGACGAUCAGAUACCGUCGUAGUCUUAACCAUAAACUAUGCCGACUAGGGAUCGGACGAUGUUAAUUUUUUAAUGACUCGUUCGGCGCCUUACG
Molecule: ribosomal RNA, 502 nt
Filed under: uncultured Glomeromycotina
Lineage: Eukaryota; Fungi; Glomeromycota
Description: partial small subunit ribosomal RNA
Rfam family: Eukaryotic small subunit ribosomal RNA
Source: RNAcentral